Molecule: non-coding RNA, 77 nt
Organism: Podarcis lilfordi (Lilford's wall lizard)
Lineage: Eukaryota; Metazoa; Chordata; Lepidosauria; Squamata; Lacertidae
Source: the annotation of a GenBank genome assembly
GUCCUGAGGGAUUGCUCAGUUGGUAGAGCAUGAGACUCUCAAUCUCAGGAUCAUGGGUUUGAUCCCCAUGUUGGGCA